Molecule: non-coding RNA, 238 nt
Organism: Nothobranchius furzeri (turquoise killifish)
Lineage: Eukaryota; Metazoa; Chordata; Actinopteri; Cyprinodontiformes; Nothobranchiidae
Source: RefSeq, a predicted model, not a curated record
ACAGAUAUUUUGGGAUGUCAUCAGCUGCCACUGAGGAACAGCCAUCUACCUCCACUGCUCAUACCAGUAGGCCAGUAUUUGAACUUGAGGAGGGACAGUCUGCUGGCACCACAUCUCCCCAGGAAGAUACUUUAGAGAGACCUACCAGUAUAUGUGAACUUGAUGAGGGACAGCCAGCUGCCACGUCUCCCCAACAAGAUAUGUCAGAGAAGCCUGAACGAUCAACCAAUGAGUCCCA